This 486-nucleotide ribosomal RNA is filed under the name uncultured bacterium. RNAcentral describes it as "bacterial SSU rRNA". It matches the Rfam family "Bacterial small subunit ribosomal RNA", at positions 29 to 526 of the family's 1533-position model. The record is from RNAcentral.
ACGAACGCUGGCGGCGUGCUUAACACAUGCAAGUCGAACGCUGAAGCCUCUUCGGGGGUGGAUGAGUGGCGAACGGGUGAGUAACACGUGGGUGACCUGCCCUCCACUCUGGGAUAAGCCUGGGAAACUGGGUCUAAUACCGGAUAUGACCUGCGGUCGCAUGGUUGUGGGUGGAAAGUUUUUUCGGUGGGGGAUGGGCCCGCGGCCUAUCAGCUUGUUGGUGGGGUGAUGGCCUACCAAGGCUUCGACGGGUAGCCGGCCUGAGAGGGCGUCCGGCCACACUGGGACUGAGACACGGCCCAGACUCCUACGGGAGGCAGCAGUGGGGAAUAUUGCGCAAUGGGCGGAAGCCUGACGCAGCGACGCCGCGUGGGGGAUGACGGCCUUCGGGUUGUAAACCUCUUUCGACCUCGACGAAGCUUUUCGGAGUGACGGUAGGGGUGGAAGAAGCACCGGCCAACUACGUGCCAGCCGCCGCGGUAAGAC